This is a long non-coding RNA of Neogale vison (American mink), 1006 nucleotides long. RefSeq lists it as uncharacterized. NCBI's taxonomy places the organism in Eukaryota, Metazoa, Chordata, Mammalia, Carnivora, Mustelidae. The record is from RefSeq and is a predicted model, not a curated record. The transcript has 3 exons.
GCGAACCUGGAUGUGGCCGCUGCUUCCUCCGCGCAGACGCGCCCCGAGUUAUUUACUUUCGUUUCCGCGGCAAACUUCCCGAGGCCUGGAGUCAGCCGGGAGGCCAAAAGAGGACAUGUUACCUAAUCAUAGAAACCGCCGCCGCUGGGGAGAAGCAGCUUGGUCUAGGGGGGGAAGAUUUUAUGGCUGCAAUUUGGAUAUUGCAAAAAGGAGGAGCCUCUGAGAGCUCUGAAUGAUCUGCUGGCCCAAACCCCGCAUUCCUGAUGUGGCCCUCCCCAGCCAAGGAGGAACCAAGAAAGGUCGCCCGUCCUGCAGCUGCGGCCCGAGCCCGCGCGAGGGCGCUGUAGAGAGCCAGCCCGCCCUACCUCCAACCCGCCUGGCUGGAGACAUCAGCCUGCACCAGCUUGGCCACGAAGCCUUCAUUUUCUUCCAGUUAACUCGUGGGUCCCUAAAUGCCUUUAUUAGUUAAAAUCCGCCCCUCCCCAACUACCCUUAAAUUACACAAGAACCUGAGGGGUUUUCUCAGACUUUUGCUUCCAAACCUUAAGACCUGGAAAGUUGUCUCCCUCCGCCACUACCGGUGCUCCUGACCCUGACAUUUUGGGGUCACUGCCGAGUUUACCAACGACAUACAGGGCCUCACCGACGUUUGUUCGCUGGGAUGGACAUGCCCUAGAUGGUUCAGAGCAUUCACGGCCCUCAGGUUCCCCGCAGUGGGCUCCUAAGGGGCGGGCAACUCUCUCAGUUUACAUUCCCUGGGCCACUGUCCCCGGCGCAGAGCCUCCCACCUCAGCAGCUGGCACCUACAACAAUGACCUAGAUUACUUUAUUAUCAUUACUUUUUUAAAAACCAACAAUUUCACAUAUGUAAAAGUAAAUGUUACAUAAAUAUGUCUUAUAGGACAGUAAAAUGAAUAAGCAAGUACCUACUAUCUAACUUUUUUUUUUAAAAGAUUUUAUUUAUUUAUUUGACAGACAGAGAUCACAAGCAGGCAGAGAGGCAGGC